CUUGCUAUUGGAACUUAGUGGCGAACGGGUGAGUAACACGUAGAUAACCUGCCUGUAUGACCGGGAUAACAGUUGGAAACGACUGCUAAUACCGGAUAGGCAGAGAGGAGGCAUCUCUUCUCUGUUAAAGUUGGGAUACAACGCAAACAGAUGGAUCUGCGGUGCAUUAGCUAGUUGGUGAGGUAACGGCCCACCAAGGCGAUGAUGCAUAGCCGGCCUGAGAGGGCGAACGGCCACAUUGGGACUGAGACACGGCCCAAACUCC
RNAcentral lists this ribosomal RNA (265 nucleotides) under uncultured Bacillota bacterium. Its description in RNAcentral is "uncultured Firmicutes bacterium partial 16S ribosomal RNA". It matches the Rfam family "Bacterial small subunit ribosomal RNA", at positions 79 to 339 of the family's 1533-position model. The record is from RNAcentral. Lineage: Bacteria; Bacillati; Bacillota.